GACAGCGCUCUAUGGCUCGGAGGGCCCAGAUACUACGUCGUUCCUAAUUUUUCCGGUGUUAUCAGUUUAUAUACAAUUUAAGGAUUCUUGGUUCUUGAUCCCAUCGGAAGUUCCAUUUAGGAUAUGAAUUAGGUUUGUGUGUCGGCGCUGUAAUUCAGGAUUUCGCGGCCAGUCUAGUCUUAUAAUUAACGUGGUUUUUCCUUUUCCUUUUGGUUUUUACUGCUCCAAGUUAAUAACAUAAUUUGCAAAGAUUCACAAUCAUACCAAUUGAAAUGGCUGGAAGAAUUUUAUAAUCACAGUUCGCACCAAAACUAAAAUAUAAUAAUACAAAAAGUACAAUCGUGUCGGCGUAAAUCGAAACCGACUUAGUUGUUUCCCCAGUCUUUUUGCUCGCCGAUUCAGACCUCAUUAGGGUUCUUGCUUACACAGGGUUCCAUCAAAUUGUUGGAUAGGCUACGAGGGGUUUCUCUGUUACUCGAUAAAGCUUCGUAAUUCAUUCUCAGUUGGUGAUUUUCUGUACUUUCUCGUACAUUACAUGGGCUAGGCACGCACCAUAGUUCCUUCGAGGAAGACGAGAGAGUUAGAAGAAGGUCAAUGCAAGCAACAUUAACAACAUAAUCCCUUUACUGUUUGCCACCAGAGUAAGGGGCUUUUGAUCUGCCGUUCGUGUAUCAAGUCUCAAAUUGCAUCUCCUGGAUUCUCUGAUUUCUUUGUAGCCCUUUUCGCUGUUAUUAACGCCAAAUUCGCUCAAGUCACUCCACUUCUAUUCAAAAGGGUCGUGUUGCUGUCCAAAUCUUAAGGGAAAUUUUUUAUAGCGCAUCUAGUAAACCAGCAAGUCGCUGAGGAGAUCAUAGCACUUGAAUUAGCUGCCGUACUUCUGGAAGACCCAACUGAUGACAGUCUCGAGAUGGCUGUUGCGUUUGUGACGGAGUGUGGUGCGAUGCUUCAAGACGUUACAAAGGAUUGCAUGGAUAAUCAGAACACUUGGGGAUUAGGCUGCUUAAUUAGAGGUUUCACGAUCCAAAGAUGCAGGAAUCACAUGAAUUUAUCUUCCCUAAAGAUAAUCCAAAGAAUAUGAGGUUUGCAAUCAACUUCUUUACAUCCAUUGGUCUUUGUAGGCAUCACAGAAAAAUCUCAUAGGGUAUUUGAAGAACAUGCCAUGCCUCGUCACGCGACAGCAGAAGCAAGUUGUGAAAUCAGAAACAUGAAUACAUGAUCAUCAUCUGGAUGUGACAGUUUUGGUUCCAAGUAUGAAUCUGAGUCAGACUCAUCCUCUUCUUCGUUCGGAUGAAAGCGACAGAGAGAAGAGGAAUAGACUGAUGAGAUGGGGUCUCACGGUUCUCUCAUCCUUUCUACUUUGCAAUUCUCAUGAUGAAUCUAGGCAGCAACUGUUCUUUGAUUGUGCAUUUGCUGUAGAGGUCUGGUCAUUCUUCACAGGCAAGGCCCAUGUUUCUCCAGAAUCUUUACAGUAAAGGAGAGUUGAUCCUCAACAUCUUUGCAUCCGUUCUUUUUUUUUUUUUUUGAACACCACUUCAUUAACGCUUAAAUGUCAACAUCUUUGCAUCCGCUCUUUCUUAUUCAUUUAAUUUCACAAUCAUUUAAAACUA
Capsella rubella is the source of this 1607-nucleotide long non-coding RNA. RefSeq lists it as uncharacterized. The record is from RefSeq and is a predicted model, not a curated record. Lineage: Eukaryota; Viridiplantae; Streptophyta; Magnoliopsida; Brassicales; Brassicaceae. The transcript is spliced from 3 exons.